This 847-nucleotide ribosomal RNA is filed under the name Saccharomyces cerevisiae (brewer's yeast). RNAcentral's name for it is "eukaryotic LSU rRNA". The stretch from base 394 to 547 matches the Rfam family "5.8S ribosomal RNA". The record is from RNAcentral. Lineage: Eukaryota; Fungi; Ascomycota; Saccharomycetes; Saccharomycetales; Saccharomycetaceae.
CUCUCCCGGGGGGGGGGGGCGGAGGUCAUUAAAGAAAUUUAAUAAUUUUGAAAAUGGAUUUUUUUGUUUUGGCAAGAGCAUGAGAGCUUUUACUGGGCAAGAAGACAAGAGAUGGAGAGUCCAGCCGGGCCUGCGCUUAAGUGCGCGGUCUUGCUAGGCUUGUAAGUUUCUUUCUUGCUAUUCCAAACGGUGAGAGAUUUCUGUGCUUUUGUUAUAGGACAAUUAAAACCGUUUCAAUACAACACACUGUGGAGUUUUCAUAUCUUUGCAACUUUUUCUUUGGGCAUUCGAGCAAUCGGGGCCCAGAGGUAACAAACACAAACAAUUUUAUUUAUUCAUUAAAUUUUUGUCAAAAACAAGAAUUUUCGUAACUGGAAAUUUUAAAAUAUUAAAAACUUUCAACAACGGAUCUCUUGGUUCUCGCAUCGAUGAAGAACGCAGCGAAAUGCGAUACGUAAUGUGAAUUGCAGAAUUCCGUGAAUCAUCGAAUCUUUGAACGCACAUUGCGCCCCUUGGUAUUCCAGGGGGCAUGCCUGUUUGAGCGUCAUUUCCUUCUCAAACAUUCUGUUUGGUAGUGAGUGAUACUCUUUGGAGUUAACUUGAAAUUGCUGGCCUUUUCAUUGGAUGUUUUUUUUCCAAAGAGAGGUUUCUCUGCGUGCUUGAGGUAUAAUGCAAGUACGGUCGUUUUAGGUUUUACCAACUGCGGCUAAUCUUUUUUAUACUGAGCGUAUUGGAACGUUAUCGAUAAGAAGAGAGCGUCUAGGCGAACAAUGUUCUUAAAGUUUGACCUCAAAUCAGGUAGGAGUACCCGCUGAACUUAAGCAUAUCAAAAACCCCGAAGAAAAGG